RNAcentral lists this non-coding RNA (28 nucleotides) under Mus musculus (house mouse). Lineage: Eukaryota; Metazoa; Chordata; Mammalia; Rodentia; Muridae. The record is from RNAcentral.
UAUUCCAGUAUCCAGAUCCGCACGUUGC